This 103-nucleotide non-coding RNA is filed under the name Phycicoccus duodecadis. RNAcentral's name for it is "Tetrasphaera duodecadis TPP riboswitch aptamer (THI element)". It matches the Rfam family "TPP riboswitch aptamer (THI element)". Rfam says of the family: Vitamin B(1) in its active form thiamin pyrophosphate (TPP) is an essential coenzyme that is synthesised by coupling of pyrimidine and thiazole moieties in bacteria. The previously detected thiamin-regulatory element, thi box was extended, resulting in a new, highly conserved RNA secondary structure, the THI element, which is widely distributed in eubacteria and also occurs in some archaea. Lineage: Bacteria; Bacillati; Actinomycetota; Actinomycetes; Micrococcales; Intrasporangiaceae. The record is from Rfam by way of RNAcentral. RNAcentral also lists the same sequence under 1 other name.
GUCCAACGACAGGGGAGCGCCCUAGCGCUGAGAGUGCGGUUCGCCGCAGACCCUCGAACCUGAUCCGGUUAGCACCGGCGAAGGGAGUCGGGAAUCUCAGGUG